AUACGUAGGGGGCGAGCGUUGUCCGGAAUUACUGGGCGUAAAGGGAGCGUAGGCGGACUGCUAAGUGAGAUGUGAAAUACCCGGGCUUAACCUGGGGGCUGCAUCUCAUACUGGCGGCCUUGAGUGUGGGAGAGGAAAGUGGAAUUCCUAGUGUAGCGGUGAAAUGCGUAGAUAUAUGGAAGAACACCAGUGGCGAAGGCGCUUCACUAGCCCGAAACUGACGCUCAGUCACGAAAGCGUGGGUAGCAAAUAGGAUUAGAUACCCUAGUAGUCCACGCUGUAAACGAUGACAACUAAAUAUUGCCGCGAGGCAGUGUUGAAGCUAACGCAUUAAGUUGUCCGCCUGGGGAGUACGGUCGCAAGACUGAAACUUAAAGGAAUUGGCGGGG
Molecule: ribosomal RNA, 389 nt
Filed under: uncultured bacterium
Lineage: Bacteria
Description: partial 16S ribosomal RNA
Rfam family: Bacterial small subunit ribosomal RNA
Source: RNAcentral